AAACUAAGCAAUCAAGUUGGCUACAACUGACUAUACGUCGUCGGUCUGAUAAUGCCUUGAUUUUGUUUCCGUUCAGAUCAACACUCAGACGGAGUCUAGUCAAGAAGUAUAACAAACAAGAAUUCAGCGGAAUUUCUAUUUUACUUUUUUUUCCAGACCCAUGCGCCACUGUACGCUGUGGUGGAUGCAAAACUGGAACAGUGCUCAGCCCUACACCAGAUGAGUGUUGUCGAUGCGUGAACGACCCAUGCGCCACGGUACGCUGUGGUGGAUGCAAAAAUGGAACAGUGCUCAGCCCUACACCAGACGAGUGCUGUCGAUGCGUGAACGAGCUGUGCGCUACUGUGCUCUGUGCGACCUGCAAGAGCGGAACAGUGUUCAGCCCUCUUCCCGAUGACUGCUGCCGAUGUAUAAAAGACCCAUGCGCCACUGUACGCUGUGGUGGAUGCAAAAAUGGAACAGUACUCAGCCCUACACCAGACCAGUGCUGUCGAUGCGUGAACGAUCCAUGCGCCACUGUGCGCUGUCGUGGCUGCAAUGAAGGAGCAGUGCUUAGCCCAGUUCUUGACAAUUGCUGCAGAUGUGUGCCAGCCCAAUCAUAGUUUCAGACUGUACUCUUGGCUUAUGCACGAAGCGGGGAGUGGUACAACUGCGUUGCAGCCCUCUCCUAGCGCCCAUUGUCGAUGUACUUAAGCAGUGUCCACGAAGCACCGUCACAUCUAAGUGGCUGACCACUACUCUACUCAAUAUACUAAAAAAUAGCGAGCUUCUUGAAGGUACUCAAAGUGAGCCCCUAUUGAAGCUUGUCAUUUGCACCGUUAAAAACAAUCUUCGCUUUCCUUGUAUGUGCAGCAAUAAACCUGCUCAAAUUGGUUGCAGUACUUUGUAAGCGCAAGUACUA
Molecule: unclassified non-coding RNA, 901 nt
Filed under: Dermacentor andersoni
Lineage: Eukaryota; Metazoa; Arthropoda; Arachnida; Ixodida; Ixodidae
Description: bPTI/Kunitz domain-containing protein 4-like
Source: RNAcentral